AGGUGAUUGCUUUCGAUUUACUGUUCGAUUUGAGAAAGGCAUUCCCAUCCUUGAUGCUUUCGCCCGAUGACGUGAAGGGCCUUUGCCUGGUGCUCGGUGUCACAGCAUCAUCGAAUCCGCUCAUUCAGAACAUUAUAGAUACAAAUGCUGAUGUCUGGAACGCCAUCUGAUUGGUGGCGCUUGUUACCAUGGUCCUGCGUAAAACAGAAGUCGUGAUUUAUUUACAGAGGCAAUUGCUUGCCUUUCCCACAUUUUCCUGCUAUCCUAAACAGCUUCAGACUGUUGCUGGCGACGGUAACGUUACUUUAUGGCUUUCUUCGGGAUAACGAAUUUGGGCUAUCAAAACCCCAUCGGAGACAAUAUGUUAUUGAGUCCGAGAUCGUCUGCUUCUCCCGGUGAUGAGGUGGAUUCAAGGAGCUGGGCUAAACAGUCAGGACUGCCCUCCAUCCAAGUCCAGAGGGGACCCCCAAAAUGCACUGAUACCGGCAGUAUCUACAACCAGCCUUCUCCCUUCAGCCAAGACAUACACCAAGGGAGCCAGGGGCGAUACAGAGAGAUGCUCAAACGGGUUCAGAUACCAAGAUGUAAGUUAGAUCCCCGAAUCAGCUGUACUCCGUGCCCCUGACAGACAGCCAUCAGUGUGGAUGGUGGAUGUCUAAUGGAGGCCAAGGAAAGAUGCAUGAACCCUGGACCCAAGUCAGACGAUUCCCCCGCAAGAACAGUGAGAUGACCAAGUUUGUGAAAGAGAUGUCAAUGACGGACCGAGAGUUCAGCUUAUUCUGAUUUCCACUCCUGCAGUAACAUACACACAAUCCCAUCCAAAGACCUCUGGGACCUUUACACUCUAAGGACUAUUGUGGUUUAAUAAACUGAGACAUUUUCAUUCAUCAUAGCAUGUUAUGAAAUGUAUUGGGUAUCUGUGACUGCUUGCUCUCACCUAAUAAUUUCGUUGGUCAGCAUCUGCUCAAUGACAAUCAGCCAAUGGUAAUCCUAGUUUUUACAACAGGUAAAGAAAGCCGCACACAUUAACAGCAAUCAACACCACAUAAAACAGCCAUUGUUUUUAUUUUUAAAAAUUCUUCAAGGGGAAAUUUUAUUUUGUCUGUCAUAGUCCUAAACUCUUUUUGUCCUUCACUUCAGGAAAAACGGUGCCUUCUGAACUCCUUCAACACAAGGGUAGAAAACAAAAAGAAGGGGGCCGGAUUCAUCAGGCUUGAGCAAAACACACUUUCAGUAGUUCUGGGAUGACCCUCCCCUCAUCUGUGCCCUAAAAACAUCCCAAGAGUCAACAAUUAACAGCCACCCAACCCAAAGACAAGACAGCCUGUAGAAAUAGAAUAAAACGUGCAUCAUCUUAAUAACCACAUCCAUUCUAUGUAUUCUAUUUCUAUGUUAAUCACUCUCGAUUGG
Molecule: RNA transcript, 1410 nt
Organism: Oncorhynchus gorbuscha (pink salmon)
Lineage: Eukaryota; Metazoa; Chordata; Actinopteri; Salmoniformes; Salmonidae
Gene name: testis-expressed protein 49-like
Exons: 5
Source: RefSeq, a predicted model, not a curated record